This 468-nucleotide ribosomal RNA is filed under the name uncultured bacterium. RNAcentral describes it as "partial 16S ribosomal RNA". It matches the Rfam family "Bacterial small subunit ribosomal RNA", at positions 28 to 507 of the family's 1533-position model. The record is from RNAcentral.
GACGAACGCUGGCGGCGUGCUUAACACAUGCAAGUCGAACGGAAAGGCCCUGCUUUUGUGGGGUGCUCGCGUGGCGAACGGGUGAGUAACACGUGAGUAACCUGCCCUUGACUUUGUGAUAACUUCAGGAAACUGGGGCUAAUACCGGCUAGGAGCUCCUGCUGCAUGGUGGGGUUUGGAAAGUUUCGGCGGUUGGGGAUGGACUCGCGGCUUAUCAGCUUGUUGGUGGGGUAGUGGCUUACCAAGGCUUUGACGGGUAGCCGGCCUGAGAGGGUGACCGGCCACAUUGGGACUGAGAUACGGCCCAGACUCCUACGGGAGGCAGCAGUGGGGAAUAUUGCACAAUGGGCGGAAGCCUGAUGCAGCAACGCCGCGUGCGGGAUGACGGCCUUCGGGUUGUAAACCGCUUUCGCCUGUGACGAAGCGUGAGUGACGGUAAUGGGUAAAGAAGCACCGGCUAACUACGUG